GUCCACGCCGUAAACGUUGGGCGCUAGGUGUGGGGACAUUCCACGUCCUCCGUGCCGCAGCUAACGCAUUAAGCGCCCCGCCUGGGGAGUACGGCCGCAAGGCUAAAACUCAAAGGAAUUGACGGGGGCCCGCACAAGCGGCGGAGCAUGCGGAUUAAUUCGAUGCAACGCGAAGAACCUUACCUGGGUUUGACAUAUAGGGAAAUCCUCCAGAGAUGGGGGGUCCGUAAGGGUCCUAUACAGGUGGUGCAUGGCUGUCGU
Molecule: ribosomal RNA, 261 nt
Filed under: uncultured bacterium
Lineage: Bacteria
Description: partial 16S ribosomal RNA
Rfam family: Bacterial small subunit ribosomal RNA
Source: RNAcentral